This 505-nucleotide ribosomal RNA is filed under the name uncultured bacterium. RNAcentral's name for it is "partial 16S ribosomal RNA". It matches the Rfam family "Bacterial small subunit ribosomal RNA", at positions 28 to 507 of the family's 1533-position model. The record is from RNAcentral.
GACGAACGCUGGCGGCGUGCCUAAUACAUGCAAGUAGAACGCACAGUUUAUACCGUAGCUUGCUACACCAUAGACUGUGAGUUGCGAACGGGUGAGUAACGCGUAGGUAACCUGCCUGGUAGCGGGGGAUAACUAUUGGAAACGAUAGCUAAUACCGCAUAAUAUUAAUUAUUGCAUGAUAAUUAAUUGAAAGGUGCAAUUGCACCACUACCAGAUGGACCUGCGUUGUAUUAGCUAGUAGGUGAGGUAACGGCUCACCUAGGCGACGAUACAUAGCCGACCUGAGAGGGUGAUCGGCCACACUGGGACUGAGACACGGCCCAGACUCCUACGGGAGGCAGCAGUAGGGAAUCUUCGGCAAUAGACGAAAGUCUGACCGAGCAACGCCGCGUGAGUGAAGAAGGGUUUCGGAUCGUAAAGCUCGGUUGUAAGAGAAGAACGGGUGUGAGAGUGGAAAGUUCACACUGUGACGGUAUCUUACCAGAAAGGGACGGCUAACUACGUG